UACGUAGGUGACCAGCGUUGUCCGGAUUUACUGGGCGUAAAGAGCGCGCAGGCGGUCGUUCAAGUCGAGUGUGAAAGCCCCCGGCUCAACUGGGGAGGGUCACUUGAUACUGAUCGACUCGAAGGCAGGAGAGGGAAGCGGAAUUCCCGGUGUAGUGGUGAAAUGCGUAGAUAUCUGGAGGAACACCGGUGGCGAAGGCGGCAUCCUGGACCAACACUGACGCUGAGUGAGCGAAAGCCAGGGGAGCAAACGGG
RNAcentral lists this ribosomal RNA (254 nucleotides) under uncultured bacterium. RNAcentral describes it as "partial 16S ribosomal RNA". It matches the Rfam family "Bacterial small subunit ribosomal RNA", at positions 524 to 776 of the family's 1533-position model. The record is from RNAcentral.